ACUGGUGACAGAAAAAUCCACAUUCAAAGCCAGCUUGAGCUACAAAAUGAGUUGAAAGCCAGCACAAGAAACUUAAGGAUAUCUGUUGGAGUCUGGCAGUCAUUUGCCUGUACACCCGUUGUCUCCAACCCAAUAUCUACAUAAUCCAACUACGUGGAAUGGGACAAUAGAGAAAGAAGGUUGGACUGAAGCAAUAGCAAUGGAUACAGAGAACAGACUGGCAUUGAGAAAUGUUCAUCGCUGUAGCCUCACCUCACGAAUUCUGAGCUAUGGCGCUGAUCGAUCAGUAUGAAGGUAUAUAUACCCCAACAUGUACCUAAAGGGACACAUAAGAGCUGGCGCUGGU
Mus musculus (house mouse) is the source of this 346-nucleotide long non-coding RNA. RefSeq annotates it as predicted gene, 39057. The record is from RefSeq and is a predicted model, not a curated record. NCBI's taxonomy places the organism in Eukaryota, Metazoa, Chordata, Mammalia, Rodentia, Muridae. The transcript is spliced from 3 exons.